Molecule: ribosomal RNA, 251 nt
Filed under: uncultured prokaryote
Description: partial 16S rRNA
Rfam family: Bacterial small subunit ribosomal RNA
Source: RNAcentral
ACGGAGGGUGCGAGCGUUAAUCGGAAUCACUGGGCGUAAAGCGCACGUAGGCGGUGUCGUAAGUCGGAUGUGAAAGCCCUCGGCUCAACCGGGGAACUGCAUUCGAUACUGCGAUGCUUGAGUGCCGGAGGGGGUGCCAGAAUUCCAGGUGUAGGGGUGAAAUCCGUAGAGAUCUGGAGGAACACCAUCGGCGAAGGCGGCCUCCUGGCCGGUAACUGACGCUGAGGUGCGAAAGUGUGGGGAUCAAACAG